This 440-nucleotide ribosomal RNA is filed under the name uncultured bacterium. Its description in RNAcentral is "partial 16S ribosomal RNA". It matches the Rfam family "Bacterial small subunit ribosomal RNA", at positions 338 to 795 of the family's 1533-position model. The record is from RNAcentral.
CCUACGGGGGGCAGCAGUAGGGAAUAUUGCUCAAUGGGGGAAACCCUGAAGCAGCAACGCCGCGUGGAGGAUGAAGGUUUUCGGAUUGUAAACCUCUUUUGUUAGAGAAGAUAAUGACGGUAUCUAACGAAUAAGCACCGGCUAACUCCGUGCCAGCAGCCGCGGUACUACGGAGGGUGCAAGCGUUACUCGGAAUGACUGGGCGUAAAGAGCGCGUAGGCGGGCUAGCAAGUCUGAUGUGAAAUCCUAUGGCUUAACCAUAGAACUGCAUUUGAAACUGUUGUGCUAGAGUAUGGGGGAGGUAGGUGGAAUUCUUGGUGUAGGGGUAAAAUCCGUAGAUAUCAAGAGGAAUACUGAUUGCGAAGGCGACCUACUGUAGCAUUACUGACGCUCAGGCACGAAAGCGUGGGGAGCGAACAGGAUUAGAUACCCGUGUAGUC